CUUUAUUGGAGAGUUUGAUCCUGGCUCAGGAUGAACGCUGGCGGCGUGCCUAAUACAUGCAAGUCGAGCGAAUGGAUUAAGAGCUUGCUCUUAUGAAGUUAGCGGCGGACGGGUGAGUAACACGUGGGUAACCUGCCCAUAAGACUGGGAUAACUCCGGGAAACCGGGG
This 169-nucleotide ribosomal RNA is filed under the name Bacillus sp. cl25. RNAcentral's name for it is "16S rRNA. Bacterial SSU". It matches the Rfam family "Bacterial small subunit ribosomal RNA", at positions 1 to 162 of the family's 1533-position model. Lineage: Bacteria; Bacillati; Bacillota; Bacilli; Caryophanales; Bacillaceae. The record is from RNAcentral.